GGUUAAAAUCACUGUCCAAAACCUUUGUAGGAACUCUUUUCCAACCUUUUGGAGUUAGUUAGACCAAAUAAAAAUUAAUAAUGAAAAAAAAAUGUUUGGGGUGUUUGGGCUUCCUGAAGGUAAUACCCAGGUAUUAGGUUUAGGGGCUAGGGGAAGGUUUAAGGUUUUUGGCGUUAGGGUUAAAAUCACUGUCCAAAACCUUUGUAGUAACUCUUUUCCAACCUUUUGGAGUUAGUUAGACUAAAAAAAAAGAAAGAUGAAAAAAAAAAAUAUUUGGGGUUUUCGGGCUUCCUGAAGGUAAUACUUUAAUAAUAUUAGGUUUUGGGGCUAGGGUAAGGUUUAAGGUUUUUGGCGUUAGGGUUAAAAUGACUGUCCAAAACCUAUUUAGGAACAUGUUUCAGACCUUUUGGAAAUGGUUACACCAAAUAAAAAUAAAAAAUAAAAAAUAAAUAUUUGGGGUGUUCGGGCUUCCUGAAGGUAAUACCCGGGUAUAAGUUUUGGGGCUAUGGUAAGGUUUAAGGUUUUUGGCGUUAGGGUUAAAAUCACUCUCCAAAACCUUUGUAGGAACUCUUUUCCAACCAUUUGGAGUUAGUUAGACCAAAUAAAAAUGAAAAAUGAAAAAAACAAUAUUUGGCUUGUUUUGGCUUUCUGAAGAUAAUGCACGGGUAUUAGGUUAUGGGGCUAUGGUAAGGUUUAAGGUUUUUGGCGUUAGGGUUAAAAUCACUGUCCAAAACCUUUGUAGGAUCUCUUUUCCAAGCUUUUGGAGUUAGUUAGACCAAAAAAAAAGAAAAAUGAAAAAAAAAUAUUUGUGGUGUUCGGGCUUCCUGAAGAUAAUACCCGGGUAUUAGGUUAUGGGGCUAUGGUAAGGUUUAAGGUUUUGGGCGUUAGGGUUAAAAUCACUGUCCAAAACCUUUGUAGGAUCUCUUUUCCAACCUUUUGGAGUUAGUUAGACCAAAUAAAAAUGAAAAAUGAAAAAAAAAAUAUUUGGGGUGUUUGGGCUUCCUGAAGGUAAUACCCGGGUAUUAAGAUUUGGGGCUAGGGUAAGGUUUAAGGUUUUGGCGUCAGGGUUUAAAUCACUGUCCAAAACCUUUGUAGGAACUAUUUUCCAAGCUUUUGGAGUUAGUUAGACCAAAAAGAAAUGAAAAAUGAAAAAAAAAUAUUUGUGGUGUUCGGGCUUCCUGAAGAUAAUACACGGGUAUUAGGUUUUGUGGCUAGGGAAAGGUUUAAGGUUUUUGGCGUUAGGGUUAAAAUCACUGUCCAAAACCUUUGUAGGAACUCUUUUCCAACCAUUUGGAGUUAGUUAGACCAAAUAAAAAUGAAAAAUGAAAAAAACAAUAUUUGGCUUGUUUUGGCUUCCUGAAGAUAAUGCACGGGUAUUAGGUUAUGGGGCUAUGGUAAGGUUUAAGGUUUUUGGCGUUAGGGUUAAAAUCACUGUCCAAAACCUUUGUAGGAUCUCUUUUCCAAGCCUUUUGGAGUUAGUUAGACCAAAAACAAAUGAAAAAUGAAAAAAAAAUAUUUGGGGUGUUUGGGCUUCCUGAAGGUAAUACCCGGGUAUUAGGUUAUGGGGCUGGGGUAAGGUUUAAGGUUUUUGGCGUUAGGGUUAAAAUCACUGUCCAAAACCUUUGUAGUAACUCUUUUCCAAGCUUUUGGAGUUAGUUAGACCAAAAAAAAGAAAAAUGAAAAAAAAAUAUUUGGGGUGUUUGGGCUUCCUGAAGGUAAUACCCGGGUAUUAAGAUUUGGGGCUAGGGUAAGGUUUAAGGUUUUGGCGUCAGGGUUUAAAUCACUGUCCAAAACCUUUGUAGGAACUAUUUUCCAAGCUUUUGGAGUUAGUUAGACCAAAAAGAAAUGAAAAAUGAAAAAAAAAAUAUUUGUGGUGUUCGGGCUUCCUGAAGAUAAUACACUGGUAUUAGGUUUUGGGGCUAGGGAAAGGUUUAAGGUUUUUGGCGUUAGGGUUAAAAUCACUGUCCAAAACGUUUGUAGGAACUCUUUUCCAACCAUUUGGAGUUAGUUAGACCAAAUAAAAAUGAAAAAUGAAAAAAACAAUAUUUGGCUUGUUUUGGCUUCCUGAAGAUAAUGCACGGGUAUUAGGUUAUGGGGCUAUGGUAAGGUUUAAGGUUUUUGGCGUUAGGGUUAAAAUCACUGUCCAAAACCUUUGUAGGAUCUCUUUUCCAAGCUUUUGGAGUUAGUUAGACCAAAAAAAAUGAAAAAAAAAAAAAAAUAUUUGGGGUUGUUUGGGCUUCCUGAAGGUAAUACCCGGGUAUUAGGUUAUGGGGCUAUGGUAAGGUUUAAGGUUUUGGGCGUUAGGGUUAAAAUCACUGUCCAAAACCUUUGUAGGAACUCUUUUCCAACCUUUUGGAGUUAGUUAGACCAAAUAAAAAUUAAUAAUGAAAAAAAAAUAUUUGGGGUGUUUGGGCUUCCUGAAGGUAAUACCCGGGUAUUAGGUUUGGGGCUAGGGUAAGGUUUAAGGUUUUGGCGUUAGGGUUAAAAUCACUGUCCAAAACCUUUGUAGUAACUCUUUUCCAACCUUUUGGAGUUAGUUAGACCUAAAAAAAAAGAAAAAUGAAAAAAAAAUAUUUGGGGUUUUCGGGCUUCCUGAAGGUAAUACUUUAAUAAUAUUAGGUUUUGGGGCUAGGGUAAGGUUUAAGGUUUUUGGCGUUAGGGUUAAAAUGACUGUCCAAAACCUAUUUAGGAACAUGUUUCAGACCUUUUGGAAAUGGUUACACCAAAUAAAAAUAAAAAAUAAAAAAUAAAUAUUUGGGGUGUUCGGGCUUCCUGAAGGUAAUACCCGGGUAUAAGUUUUGGGGCUAUGGUAAGGUUUAAGGUUUUUGGCGUUAGGGUUAAAAUCACUCUCCAAAACCUUUGUAGGAACUCUUUUCCAACCAUUUGGAGUUAGUUAGACCAAAUAAAAAUGAAAAAUGAAAAAAACAAUAUUUGGCUUGUUUUGGCUUUCUGAAGAUAAUGCACGGGUAUUAGGUUAUGGGGCUAUGGUAAGGUUUAAGGUUUUUGGCGUUAGGGUUAAAAUCACUGUCCAAAACCUUUGUAGGAUCUCUUUUCCAAGCUUUUGGAGUUAGUUAGACCAAAAAAAAAGAAAAAUGAAAAAAAAAUAUUUGUGGUGUUCGGGCUUCCUGAAGAUAAUACCCGGGUAUUAGGUAAUGGGGCUAUGGUAAGGGUUUAAGGUUUUGGGCGUUAGGGUUAAAAUCACUGUCCAAAACCUUUGUAGGAUCUCUUUUCCAACCUUUUGGAGUUAGUUAGACCAAAUAAAAAUGAAAAAUGAAAAAAAAAUAUUUGGGGUGUUUGGGCUUCCUGAAGGUAAUACCCGGGUAUUAAGAUUUGGGGCUAGGGUAAGGUUUAAGGUUUUGGCAUCAGGGUUAAAAUCACUGUCCAAAACCUUUGUAGGAACUAUUUUCCAAGCUUUUGGAGUUAGUUAGACCAAAAAGAAAUGAAAAAUGAAAAAAAAAUAUUUGUGGUGUUCGGGCUUCCUGAAGAUAAUACACGGGUAUUAGGUUUUGUGGCUAGGGAAAGGUUUAAGGUUUUUGGCGUUAGGGUUAAAAUCACUGUCCAAAACCUUUGUAGGAACUCUUUUCCAACCAUUUGGAGUUAGUUAGACCAAAUAAAAAUGAAAAAUGAAAAAAACAAUAUUUGGCUUGUUUUGGCUUCCUGAAGAUAAUGCACGGGUAUUAGGUUAUGGGGCUAUGGUAAGGUUUAAGGUUUUUGGCGUUAGGGUUAAAAUCACUGUCCAAAACCUUUGUAGGAUCUCUUUUCCAAGCUUUUGGAGUUAGUUAGACCAAAAAAAAAAGAAAAAUGAAAAAAAAAUAUUUGGGGUGUUCGGGCUUCCUGAAGGUAAUACCCGGGUAUUAGGUUAUGGGGCUGGGGUAAGGUUUAAGGUUUUUGGCGUUAGGGUUAAAAUCACUGUCCAAAACCUUUGUAGUAACUCUUUUCCAACCUUUUGGAGUUAGUUAGACCAAAAAAAAAGAAAAAUGAAAAAAAAAUAUUUGGGGUGUUUGGGCUUCCUGAAGGUAAUACCCGGGUAUUAAGAUUUGGGGCUAGGGUAAGGUUUAAGGUUUUGGCGUCAGGGUUUAAAUCACUGUCCAAAACCUUUGUAGGAACUAUUUUCCAAGCUUUUGGAGUUAGUUAGACCAAAAAGAAAUGAAAAAUGAAAAAAAAAUAUUUGUGGUGUUCGGGCUUCCUGAAGAUAAUACACGGGUAUUAGGUUUUGGGGCUAGGGAAAGGUUUAAGGUUUUUGGCGUUAGGGUUAAAAUCACUGUCCAAAACCUUUGUAGGAACUCUUUUCCAACCUUUUGGAGUUAGUUAGACCAAAUAAAAAUGAAAAAUGAAAAAAAAAUAUUUGGGGUGUUUGGGCUUCCUGAAGGUAAUACCCGGGUAUUAAGAUUUGGGGCUGGGGUAAGGUUUAAGGUUUUUGGCGUUAGGGUUAAAAUCACUGUCCAAAACCUUUGUAGUAACUCUUUUCCAAGCUUUUGGAGUUAGUUAGACCAAAAAAAAAGAAAAAUGAAAAAAAAAUAUUUGGGGUGUUUGGGCUUCCUGAAGGUAAUACCCGGGUAUUAAGAUUUGGGGCUAGGGUAAGGUUUAAGGUUUUGGCGUUAGGGUUUAAAUCACUGUCCAAAACCUUUGUAGGAACUGUUUUCCAACCUUUUGGAGUUAGUUAGACCAAAAAGAAAUGAAAAAUGAAAAAAAAAUAUUAGUGGUGUUCGGGCUUCCUGAAGAUAAUACACCGGUAUUAGGUUUUGGGGCUAUGGUAAGGUUUAAGGUUUUUGGCGUUAGGGUUAAAAUCACUGUCCAAAACCUUUGUAGGAUCUCUUUUCCAAGCUUUUGGAGUUAGUUAGACCAAAAAAAAAGAAAAAUGAAAAAAAAAUAUUUGGGGUGUUCGGGCUUCCUGAAGGUAAUACCCGGGUAUUAGGUUAUGGGGCUAUGGUAAGGUUUAAGGUUUUGGGCGUUAGGGUUAAAAUCACUGUCCAAAACCUUUGUAGGAUCUCUUUUCCAACCUUUUGGAGUUAGUUAGACCAAAUAAAAAUGAAAAAUGAAAAAAAAAUAUUUGGGGUGUUUGGGCUUCCUGAAGGUAAUACCUGGGUAUUAAGAUUUGGGGCUAGGGUAAGGUUAAAGGUUUUGGCAUUAGGGUUUAAAUCACUGUCCAAAACGUUUGUAGGAACUCUUUUCCAACCUUUUGGAGUUAGUUAGACCAAAAAAUAAUGAAAAAUGAAAAAAAAAUAUUUGGGGUUUUCGGGCUUCCUGAAGGUAAUACCCGGGUAUUAGGUUAUGGGGCUGGGGUAAGGUUUAAGGUUUUUGGCGUUAGGGUUAAAAUCACUGUCCAAAACCUUUGUAGUAACUCUUUUCCAAGCUUUUGGAGUUAGUUAGACCAAAAAAAAAGAAAAAUGAAAAAAAAAUAUUUGGGGUGUUUGGGCUUCCUGAAGGUAAUACCCGGGUAUUAAGAUUUGGGGCUAGUGUAAGGUUUAAGGUUUUGGCGUCAGGGUUUAAAUCGCUGUCCAAAACCUUUGUAGGAACUAUUCUCCAAGCUUUUGGAGUUAGUUAGACCAAAAAGAAAUGAAAAAUGAAAAAAAAAUAUUUGUGGUGUUCGGGCUUCCUGAAGAUAAUACACCGGUAUUAGGUUUUGGGGCUAGGGAAAGGUUUAAGGUUUUUGGCGUUAGGGUUAAAGUCACUGUCCAAAACCUUUGUAGGAACUCUUUUCCAACCAUUUGGAGUUAGUUAGACCAAAUAAAAAUGAAAAAUGAAAAAAACAAUAUUUGGCUUGUUUUGGCUUCCUGAAGAUAAUGCACGGGUAUUAGGUUAUGGGGCUAUGGUAAGGUUUAAGGUUUUUGGCAUUAGGGUUAAAAUCACUGUCCAAAACCUUUGUAGGAUCUCUUUUCCAAGCUUUUGGAGUUAGUUAGACCAAAAAAAAAUGAAAAAUGAAAAAAAAAUAUUUGGGGUGUUCGGGCUUCCUGAAGGUAAUACCCGGGUAUUAGGUUAUGGGGCUAUGGUAAGGUUUAAGGUUUUGGGCGUCAGGGUUUAAAUCACUGUCCAAAACCUUUGUAGGAUCUCUUUUCCAACCUUUUGGAGUUAGUUAGACCAAAUAAAAAUGAAAAAUGAAAAAAAAAUAUUUGGGGUUUUCGGGCUUCCUGAAGGUAAUACCCGGGUAUUAAGAGUUGGGGCUAGGGUAAGGUUUAAGGUUUUGGUGUUAGGGUUUAAAUCACUGUCCAAAACCUUUGUAGGAACUGUUUUCCAACCUUUUGGAGUUAGUUAGACCAAAUAAAAAUGAAAAAUGAAAAAAAAAUAUUUGGGGUGUUUGGGCUUCCUGAAGGUAAUACCCGGGUAUUAAGAUUUGGGGCUAGGGUAAGGUUUAAGGUUUUGGCGUUAGGGUUUAAAUCACUGUCCAAAACCUUUGUAGGAACUGUUUUCCAACCUUUUGUGUUAGUUAGACCAAAAAGAAAUGAAAAAUGAAAAAAAAAAAUUAGUGGUGUUCGGGCUUCCUGAAGAUAAUACACCGGUAUUAGGUUAUGGGGCUAUGGUAAGGUUUAAGGUUUUUGGCGUUAGGGUUUAAAUCACUGUCCAAAACCUUUGUAGGAUCUCUUUUCCAACCUUUUGGAGUUAGUUAGACCAAAUAAAAAUGAAAAAUGAAAAAAAAAUAUUUGGGGUUUUCGGGCUUCCUGAAGGUAAUACCCGGGUAUUAGGUUUUGGGGCUAGGGUAAGGUUUAAGGUUUUGGCGUUAGGGUUUAAAUCACUGUCCAAAACCUUUGUAGGAACUGUUUUCCAACCUUUUGGAGUUAGUUAGACCAAAUAAAAAUGAAAAAUGAAAAAAAAAUAUUUGGGGUGUUUGGGCUUCCUGAAGGUAAUACCCGGGUAUUAAGAUUUGGGGCUAGGGUAAGGUUAAAGGUUUUGGCGUUAGGGUUUAAAUCACUGUCCAAAACGUUUGUAGGAACUCUUUUCCAACCUUUUGGCGUUAGGGUUAAAAUCACUGUCCAAAACCUUUGUAGGAUCUCUUUUCCAACCUUUUGGAGUUAGUUAGACCAAAUAAAAAUGAAAAAUGAAAAAAAAAUAUUUGGGGUGUUGGGGCUACCUGAAGAUAAUACCCGGGUAUUAAGAUUUGGGGCUAGGGUAAGGUUAAAGGUUUUGGCGUUAGGGUUUAAAUCACUGUCCAAAACCUUUGUAGGAACUCUUUUCCAACCUUUUGGAGUUAGUUAGACCAAAAAAUAAUGAAAAAUGAAAAAAAAAUAUUUGGGGUUUUCGGGCUUCCUGAAGGUAAUACCCGGGUAUUAGGUUAUGGGGCUGGGGUAAGGUUUAAGGUUUUUGGCGUUAGGGUUAAAAUCACUGUCCAAAACCUUUGUAGUAACUCUUUUCCAAGCUUUUGGAGUUAGUUAGACCAAAAAAAAAGAAAAAUGAAAAAAAAAUAUUUGGGGUGUUUGGGCUUCCUGAAGGUAAUACCCGGGUAUUAAGAUUUGGGGCUAGGGUAAGGUUUAAGGUUUUGGCGUCAGGGUUUAAAUCACUGUCCAAAACCUUUGUAGGAACUAUUUUCCAAGCUUUUGGAGUUAGUUAGACCAAAAAGAAAUGAAAAAUGAAAAAAAAAUAUUUGUGGUGUUCGGGCUUCCUGAAGAUAAUACACCGGUAUUAGGUUUUGGGGCUAGGGAAAGGUUUAAGGUUUUUGGCGUUAGGGUUAAAAUCACUGUCCAAAACCUUUGUAGGAACUCUUUUCCAACCAUUUGGAGUUAGUUAGACCAAAUAAAAAUGAAAAAUGAAAAAAACAAUAUUUGGCUUGUUUUGGCUUCCUGAAGAUAAUGCACGGGUAUUAGGUUAUGGGGCUAUGGUAAGGUUUAAGGUUUUUGGCGUUAGGGUUAAAAUCACUGUCCAAAACCUUUGUAGGAUCUCUUUUCCAAGCUUUUGGAGUUAGUUAGACCAAAAAAAAAGAAAAAUGAAAAAAAAAUAUUUGGGGUGUUCGGGCUUCCUGAAGGUAAUACCCGGGUAUUAGGUUAUGGGGCUAUGGUAAGGUUUAAGGUUUUGGGCGUUAGGGUUAAAAUCACUGUCCAAAACCUUUGUAGGAUCUCUUUUCCAACCUUUUGGAGUUAGUUAGACCAAAUAAAAAUGAAAAAUGAAAAAAAAAUAUUUGGGGUUUUCGGGCUUCCUGAAGGUAAUACCCGGGUAUUAAGAGUUGGGGCUAGGGUAAGGUUUAAGGUUUUGGCGUUAGGGUUUAAAUCACUGUCCAAAACCUUUGUAGGAACUGUUUUCCAACCUUUGGGAGUUAGUUAGACCAAAUAAAAAUGAAAAAUGAAAAAAAAAUAUUUGGGGUGUUUGGGCUUCCUGAAGGUAAUACCCGGGUAUUAAGAUUUGGGGCUAGGGUAAGGUUAAAGGUUUUGGCGUUAGGGAUUAAAUCACUGUCCAAAACGUUUGUAGGAACUCUUUUCCAACCUUUUGGCGUUAGGGUUAAAAUCACUGUCCAAAACCUUUGUAGGAUCUCUUUUCCAACCUUUUGGAGUUAGUUAGACCAAAUAAAAAUGAAAAAUGAAAAAAAAAUAUUUGGGGUGUUUGGGCUUCCUGAAGGUAAUACCCGGGUAUUAAGAUUUGGGGCUAGGGUAAGGUUAAAGGUUUUGGCAUUAGGGUUUAAAUCACUGUCCAAAACGUUUGUAGGAACUCUUUUCCAACCUUUUGGAGUUAGUUAGACCAAAAAAUAAUGAAAAAUGAAAAAAAAAUAUUUGGGGUUUUCGGGCUUCCUGAAGGUAAUUCCCGGGUAUUAGGUUAUGGGGCUGGGGUAAGGUUUAAGGUUUUUGGCGUUAGGGUUAAAAUCACUGUCCAAAACCUUUGUAGUAACUCUUUUCCAAGCUUUUGGAGUUAGUUAGACCAAAAAAAAAGAAAAAUGAAAAAAAAAUAUUUGGGGUGUUUGGGCUUCCUGAAGGUAAUACCCGGGUAUUAAGAUUUGGGGCUAGUGUAAGGUUUAAGGUUUUGGCGUCAGGGUUUAAAUCGCUGUCCAAAACCUUUGUAGGAACUAUUCUCCAAGCUUUUGGAGUUAGUUAGACCAAAAAGAAAUGAAAAAUGAAAAAAAAAUAUUUGUGGUGUUCGGGCUUCCUGAAGAUAAUACACCGGUAUUAGGUUUUGGGGCUAGGGAAAGGUUUAAGGUUUUUGGCGUUAGGGUUAAAGUCACUGUCCAAAACCUUUGUAGGAACUCUUUUCCAACCAUUUGGAGUUAGUUAGACCAAAAAAUAAUGAAAAAUGAAAAAAAAAUAUUUGGGGUUUUCGGGCUUCCUGAAGGUAAUACCCGGGUAUUAGGUUAUGGGGCUAUGGUAAGGUUUAAGGUUUUGGGCGUUAGGGUUUAAAUCACUGUCCAAAACCUUUGUAGGAUCUCUUUUCCAACCUUUUGGAGUUAGUUAGACCAAAUAAAAAUGAAAAAUGAAAAAAAAAUAUUUGGGGUUUUCGGGCUUCCUGAAGGUAAUACCCGGGUAUUAAGAGUUGGGGCUAGGGUAAGGUUUAAGGUUUUGGUGUUAGGGUUUAAAUCACUGUCCAAAACCUUUGUAGGAACUGUUUUCCAACCUUUGGGAGUUAGUUAGACCAAAUAAAAAUGAAAAAUGAAAAAAAAAUAUUUGGGGUGUUUGGGCUUCCUGAAGGUAAUACCCGGGUAUUAAGAUUUGGGGCUAGGGUAAGGUUUAAGGUUUUGGCGUUAGGGUUUAAAUCACUGUCCAAAACCUUUGUAGGAACUGUUUUCCAACCUUUUGUGUUAGUUAGACCAAAAAGAAAUGAAAAAUGAAAAAAAAAAAUUAGUGGUGUUCGGGCUUCCUGAAGAUAAUACACCGGUAUUAGGUUAUGGGGCUAUGGGUAAGGUUUAAGGUUUUUGGCGUUAGGGUUUAAAUCACUGUCCAAAACCUUUGUAGGAUCUCUUUUCCAACCUUUUGGAGUUAGUUAGACCAAAUAAAAAUGAAAAAUGAAAAAAAAAUAUUUGGGGUUUUCGGGCUUCCUGAAGGUAAUACCCGGGUAUUAAGAGUUGGGGCUAGGGUAAGGUUUAAGGUUUUGGCGUUAGGGUUUAAAUCACUGUCCAAAACCUUUGUAGGAACUGUUUUCCAACCUUUGGGAGUUAGUUAGACCAAAUAAAAAUGAAAAAUGAAAAAAAAAUAUUUGGGGUGUUUGGGCUUCCUGAAGGUAAUACCCGGGUAUUAAGAUUUGGGGCUAGGGUAAGGUUAAAGGUUUUGGCGUUAGGGUUUAAAUCACUGUCCAAAACGUUUGUAGGAACUCUUUUCCAACCUUUUGGCGUUAGGGUUAAAAUCACUGUCCAAAACCUUUGUAGGAUCUCUUUUCCAACCUUUUGGAGUUAGUUAGACCAAAUAAAAAUGAAAAAUGAAAAAAAAAUAUUUGGGGUGUUGGGGCUACCUGAAGAUAAUACCCGGGUAUUAAGAUUUGGGGCUAGGGUAAGGUUAAAGGUUUUGGCGUUAGGGUUUAAAUCACUGUCCAAAACGUUUGUAGGAACUCUUUUCCAACCUUUUGGAGUUAGUUAGACCAAAAAAUAAUGAAAAAUGAAAAAAAAAAUAUUUGGGGUUUUCGGGCUUCCUGAAGGUAAUACCCGGGUAUUAGGUUAUGGGGCUGGGGUAAGGUUUAAGGUUUUUGGCGUUAGGGUUAAAAUCACUGUCCAAAACCUUUGUAGUAACUCUUUUCCAACCUUUUGGAGUUAGUUAGACCAAAAAAAAAGAAAAAUGAAAAAAAAAUAUUUUGGGUGUUUGGGCUUCCUGAAGGUAAUACCCGGGUAUUAAGAUUUGGGGCUAGUGUAAGGUUUAAGGUUUUGGCGUCAGGGUUUAAAUCACUGUCCAAAACCUUUGUAGGAACUAUUUUCCAAGCUUUUGGAGUUAGUUAGACCAAAAAGAAAUGAAAAAUGAAAAAAAAAUAUUUGUGGUGUUCGGGCUUCCUGAAGAUAAUACACCGGUAUUAGGUUUUGGGGCUAGGGAAAGGUUUAAGGUUUUUGGCGUUAGGGUUAAAAUCACUGUCCAAAACCUUUGUAGGAACUCUUUUCCAACCAUUUGGAGUUAGUUAGACCAAAUAAAAAUGAAAAAUGAAAAAAACAAUAUUUGGCUUGUUUUGGCUUCCUGAAGAUAAUGCACGGGUAUUAGGUUAUGGGGCUAUGGUAAGGUUUAAGGUUUUGGGCGUUAGGGUUAAAAUCACUGUCCAAAACCUUUGUAGGAUCUCUUUUCCAACCUUUUGGAGUUAGUUAGACCAAAUAAAAAUGAAUAAUGAAAAAAAAAGAUUUGGGGUUUUCGGGCUUCCUGAAGGUAAUACCCGGGUAUUAAGAGUUGGGGCUAGGGUAAGGUUUAAGGUUUUGGCGUUAGGGUUAAAAUCACUGUCCAAAACCUUUGUAGGAACUGUUUUCCAACCUUUGGGAGUUAGUUAGACCAAAUAAAAAUGAAAAAUGAAAAAAAAAUAUUUGGGGUGUUUGGGCUUCCUGAAGGUAAUACCCGGGUAUUAAGAUUUGGGGCUAGGGUAAGGUUAAAGGUUUUGGCGUUAGGGAUUAAAUCACUGUCCAAAACGUUUGUAGGAACUCUUUUCCAACCUUUUGGCGUUAGGGUUAAAAUCACUGUCCAAAACCUUUGUAGGAUCUCUUUUCCAACCUUUUGGAGUUAGUUAGACCAAAUAAAAAUGAAAAAUGAAAAAAAAAUAUUUGGGAUUUUCGGGCUUCCUGAAGGUAAUACCCGGGUAUUAAGAGUUGGGGCUAGGGUAAGGUUUAAGGUUUUGGCGUUAGGGUUUAAAUCACUGUCCAAAACCUUUGUAGGAACUGUUUUCCAACCUUUGGGAGUUAGUUAGACCAAAUAAAAAUGAAAAAUGAAAAAAAAAUAUUUGGGGUGUUUGGGCUUCCUGAAGGUAAUACCCGGGUAUUAAGAUUUGGUGCUAGGGUAAGGUUAAAGGUUUUGGCGUUAGGGUUAAAUCACUGUCCAAAACGUUUGUAGGAACUCUUUUCCAACCUUUUGGAGUUAGUUAGACCAAAAAAUAAUGAAAAAUGAAAAAAAAAUAUUUGGGGUUUUCGGGCUUCCUGAAGGUAAUACCCGGGUAUUAGGUUAUGGGGCUGGGGUAAGGUUUAAGGUUUUUGGCGUUAGGGUUAAAAUCACUGUCCAAAACCUUUGUAGUAACUCUUUUCCAACCUUUUGGAGUUAGUUAGACCAAAAAAAAAGAAAAAUGAAAAAAAAAAUAUUUGGGGUGUUUGGGCUUCCUGAAGGUAAUACCCGGGUAUUAAGAUUUGGGGCUAGGGUAAGGUUUAAGGUUUUGGCGUCAGGGUUUAAAUCACUGUCCAAAACCUUUGUAGGAACUAUUUUCCAAGCUUUUGGAGUUAGUUAGACCAAAAAGAAAUGAAAAAUGAAAAAAAAAUAUUUGUGGUGUUCGGGCUUCCUGAAGAUAAUACACGGGUAUUAGGUUUUGGGGCUAGGGAAAGGUUUAAGGUUUUUGGCGUUAGGGUUAAAAUCACUGUCCAAAACCUUUGUAGGAACUCUUUUCCAACCAUUUGGAGUUAGUUAGACCAAAUAAAAAUGAAAAAUGAAAAAAAAAAUAUUUGGCUAGUUUUGGCUUCCUGAAGAUAAUGCACGGGUAUUAGGUUAUGGGGCUAUGGUAAGGUUUAAGGUUUUUGGCGUUAGGGUUAAAAUCACUGUCCAAAACCUUUGUAGGAUCUCUUUUCCAAGCUUUUGGAGUUAGUUAGACCAAAAAAAAUGAAAAAUGAAAAAAAAAUAUUUGGGGUGUUCGGGCUUCCUGAAGGUAAUACCCGGGUAUUAGGUUAUGGGGCGAUGGUAAGGUUUAAGGUUUUGGGCGUUAGGGUUAAAAUCACUGUCCAAAACCUUUGUAGGAUCUCUUUUCCAACCUUUUGGAGUUAGUUAGACCAAAUAAAAAUGAAAAAUGAAAAAAAAAUAUUUGGGGUUUUCGGGCUUCCUGAAGGUAAUACCCGGGUAUUAAGAGUUGGGGCUAGGGUAAGGUUUAAGGUUUUGGCGUUAGGGUUUAAAUCACUGUCCAAAACCUUUGUAGGAACUGUUUUCCAACCUUUGGGAGUUAGUUAGACCAAAUAAAAUUGAAAAAUGAAAAAAAAAUAUUUGGGGUGUUUGGGCUUCCUGAAGGUAAUACCCGGGUAUUAAGAUUUGGGGCUAGGGUAAGGUUAAAGGUUUUGGCGUUAGGGAUUAAAUCACUGUCCAAAACGUUUGUAGGAACUCUUUUCCAACCUUUUGGCGUUAGGGUUAAAAUCACUGUCCAAAACCUUUGUAGGAUCUCUUUUCCAACCUUUUGGAGUUAGUUAGACCAAAUAAAAAUGAAAAAUAAAAAAAAAAUAUUUGGGGUGUUUGGGCUUCCUGAAGGUAAUACCCGGGUAUUAAGAUUUGGGGCUAGGGUAAGGUUAAAGGUUUUGGCAUUAGGGUUUAAAUCACUGUCCAAAACGUUUGUAGGAACUCUUUUCCAACCUUUUGGAGUUAGUUAGACCAAAAAAUAAUGAAAAAUGAAAAAAAAAUAUUUGGGGUUUUCGGGCUUCCUGAAGGUAAUUCCCGGGUAUUAGGUUAUGGGGCUGGGGUAAGGUUUAAGGUUUUUGGCGUUAGGGUUAAAAUCACUGUCCAAAACCUUUGUAGUAACUCUUUUCCAAGCUUUUGGAGUUAGUUAGACCAAAAAAAAAGAAAAAUGAAAAAAAAAUAUUUGGGGUGUUUGGGCUUCCUGAAGGUAAUACCCGGGUAUUAAGAUUUGGGGCUAGUGUAAGGUUUAAGGUUUUGGCGUCAGGGUUUAAAUCGCUGUCCAAAACCUUUGUAGGAACUAUUCUCCAAGCUUUUGGAGUUAGUUAGACCAAAAAGAAAUGAAAAAUGAAAAAAAAAUAUUUGUGGUGUUCGGGCUUCCUGAAGAUAAUACACCGGUAUUAGGUUUUGGGGCUAGGGAAAGGUUUAAGGUUUUUGGCGUUAGGGUUAAAGUCACUGUCCAAAACCUUUGUAGGAACUCUUUUCCAACCAUUUGGAGUUAGUUAGACCAAAUAAAAAUGAAAAAUGAAAAAAACAAUAUUUGGCUUGUUUUGGCUUCCUGAAGAUAAUGCACGGGUAUUAGGUUAUGGGGCUAUGGUAAGGUUUAAGGUUUUUGGCAUUAGGGUUAAAAUCACUGUCCAAAACCUUUGUAGGAUCUCUUUUCCAAGCUUUUGGAGUCAGUUAGACCAAAAAAAAAGAAAAAUGAAAAAAAAAUAUUUGGGGUGUUCGGGCUUCCUGAAGGUAAUACCCGGGUAUUAGGUUAUGGGGCUAUGGUAAGGUUUAAGGUUUUGGGCGUCAGGGUUUAAAUCACUGUCCAAAACCUUUGUAGGAUCUCUUUUCCAACCUUUUGGAGUUAGUUAGACCAAAUAAAAAUGAAAAAUGAAAAAAAAAUAUUUGGGGUUUUCGGGCUUCCUGAAGGUAAUACCCGGGUAUUAAAAGUUGGGGCUAGGGUAAGGUUUAAGGUUUUUGGCGUUAGGGUUUAAAUCACUGUCCAAAACCUUUGUAGGAACUGUUUUCCAACCUUUGGGAGUUAGUUAGACCAAAUAAAAAUGAAAAAUGAAAAAAAAAUAUUUGGGGUGUUUGGGCUUCCUGAAGGUAAUACCCGGGUAUUAAGAUUUGGGGCUAGGGUAAGGUUAAAGGUUUUGGCGUUAGGGUUUAAAUCACUGUCCAAAACGUUUGUAGGAACUCUUUUCCAACCUUUUGGCGUUAGGGUUAAAAUCACUGUCCAAAACCUUUGUAGGAUCUCUUUUCCAACCUUUUGGAGUUAGUUAGACCAAAUAAAAAUGAAAAAUGAAAAAAAAAUAUUUGGGGUGUUUGGGCUUCCUGAAGGUAAUACCCGGGUAUUAAGAUUUGGGGCUAGGGUAAGGUUUAAGGUUUUUGGCGUUAGGGUUUAAAUCACUGUCCAAAACGUUUGUAGGAACUCUUUUCCAACCUUUUGGAGUUAGUUAGACCAAAAAAUAAUGAAAAAUGAAAAAAAAAUAUUUGGGGUUUUCGGGCUUCCUGAAGGUAAUUCCCGGGUAUUAGGUUAUGGGGCUGGGGUAAGGUUUAAGGUUUUUGGCGUUAGGGUUAAAAUCACUGUCCAAAACCUUUGUAGUAACUCUUUUCCAACCUUUUGAAGUUAGUUAGACCAAAAACAAAUGAAUAAUGAAAAAAAAAUAUUUGGGGUGUUUGGGCUUCCUGAAGGUAAUACCCGGGUAUUAAGAUUUGGGGCUAGUGUAAGGUUUAAGGUUUUGGCGUUAGGGUUUAAAUCGCUGUCCAAAACCUUUGUAGGAACUAUUCUCCAAGCUUUUGGAGUUAGUUAGACCAAAAAGAAAUGAAAAAUGAAAAAAAAAUAUUUGUGGUGUUCGGGCUUCCUGAAGAUAAUACACCGGUAUUAGGUUUUGGGGCUAGGGAAAGGUUUAAGGUUUUUGGCGUUAGGGUUAAAAUCACUGUCCAAAACCUUUGUAGGAACUCUUUUCCAACCAUUUGGAGUUAGUUAGACCAAAUAAAAAUGAAAAAUGAAAAAAACAAUAUUUGGCUUGUUUUGGCUUCCUGAAGAUAAUGCACGGGUAUUAGGUUAUGGGGCUAUGGUAAGGUUUAAGGUUUUUGGCAUUAGGGUUAAAAUCACUGUCCAAAACCUUUGUAGGAUCUCUUUUCCAAGCUUUUGGAGUCAGUUAGACCAAAAAAAAAGAAAAAUGAAAAAAAAAUAUUUGGGGUGUUCGGGCUUCCUGAAGGUAAUACCCGGGUAUUAGGUUAUGGGGCUAUGGUAAGGUUUAAGGUUUUGGGCGUUAGGGUUUAAAUCACUGUCCAAAACCUUUGUAGGAUCUCUUUUCCAACCUUUUGGAGUUAGUUAGACCAAAUAAAAAUGAAAAAUGAAAAAAAAAUAUUUGGGGUUUUCGGGCUUCCUGAAGGUAAUACCCGGGUAUUAAGAGUUGGGGCUAGGGUAAGGUUUAAGGUUUUGGUGUUAGGGUUUAAAUCACUGUCCAAAACCUUUGUAGGAACUGUUUUCCAACCUUUGGGAGUUAGUUAGACCAAAUAAAAAUGAAAAAUGAAAAAAAAAUAUUUGGGGUGUUUGGGCUUCCUGAAGGUAAUACCCGGGUAUUAAGAUUUGGGGCUAGGGUAAGGUUUAAGGUUUUGGCGUUAGGGUUUAAAUCACUGUCCAAAACCUUUGUAGGAACUGUUUUCCAACCUUUUGGAGUUUGUUAGACCAAAAAGAAAUGAAAAAUGAAAAAAAAAAAUUAGUGGUGUUCGGGCUUCCUGAAGAUAAUACACCGGUAUUAGGUUAUGGGGCUAUGGUAAGGUUUAAGGUUUUUGGCGUUAGGGUUUAAAUCACUGUCCAAAACCUUUGUAGGAUCUCUUUUCCAACCUUUUGGAGUUAGUUAGACCAAAUAAAAAUGAAAAAUGAAAAAAAAAUAUUUGGGGUUUUCGGGCUUCCUGAAG
Molecule: non-coding RNA, 16361 nt
Organism: Xyrichtys novacula (pearly razorfish)
Lineage: Eukaryota; Metazoa; Chordata; Actinopteri; Labriformes; Labridae
Source: the annotation of a GenBank genome assembly